UACGAAGGGGGCUAGCGUUGCUCGGAAUCACUGGGCGUAAAGCGCACGUAGGCGGAUUGCUAAGUCAGGGGUGAAAUCCUGGAGCUCAACUCCAGAACUGCCUUCGAUACUGGAAAGCUCGAGUCCGGGAGAGGUGAGUGGAACUGCGAGUGUAGAGGUGAAAUUCGUAGAUAUUCGCAAGAACACCAGUGGCGAAGGCGGCUCACUGGCCCGGUACUGACGCUGAGGUGCGAAAGCGUGGGGAGCAAACAGG
This 253-nucleotide ribosomal RNA is filed under the name uncultured bacterium. RNAcentral's name for it is "partial 16S ribosomal RNA". It matches the Rfam family "Bacterial small subunit ribosomal RNA", at positions 524 to 776 of the family's 1533-position model. The record is from RNAcentral.